Molecule: small nucleolar RNA, 107 nt
Organism: Cephalotus follicularis
Lineage: Eukaryota; Viridiplantae; Streptophyta; Magnoliopsida; Oxalidales; Cephalotaceae
Rfam family: Plant small nucleolar RNA R71
About the family: R71 is a member of the C/D box family of snoRNAs containing the C (UGAUGA) and D (CUGA) box motifs. Multiple nearly identical copies of this snoRNA have been identified in Arabidopsis, and it is thought to function as a 2'-O-ribose methylation guide for 18S ribosomal RNA.
Source: Rfam
AAGCCAUGAUGAGGACACUCUAGGAGAAGAUCUUUAAAACGUUCCAUACACCUAGAAAAUGAUUCAUUUUGUCUUUGACGAAACUGGAGAGUGUCGUUCCUAAGUUU